Molecule: non-coding RNA, 1666 nt
Organism: Oryctolagus cuniculus (rabbit)
Lineage: Eukaryota; Metazoa; Chordata; Mammalia; Lagomorpha; Leporidae
Source: RefSeq, a predicted model, not a curated record
CAAUGGUAUACUGUUUUAGAUCUGAAAGAUGCUUUUUUUAGCUUACCCCUAGCACCUAAGAGCCAAGAGCUUUUUGCCUUCAAAUGGACGGACCCAGAAAGAGGCAUCAACGGACAGCUAACUUGGACACAGCUGCCACAAGGGUUUAAAAACUCUCCCACCCUAUUCGAUAAGGCUCUUCAUGAAGACCUGAGUGAGUACAGACAGACACACCUAAACCUAACCCUCUCACAAUAUGUAGAUGAUCUACUGAUAGCAGCACAGACCCUCGAGGAAUGCACCCGAGGAACAGAGGACCUCUUGCACACUUUGGGGAGCCUGGACUACAGAGCAUCCGCUAAGAAGGCCCAACUCUGCAAGACCGAGGUAACAUACCUGGGGUACCUAUUGAAAGGGGGGCAACGAUGGCUGACCCCUGCACGCAAGGAGACUGUGCUCCGAAUCCCCCAACCGCAGUCGCAACGACAGGUUCGGGAGUUUUUGGGGUCAGCCGGGUUCUGCCGAUUGUGGAUCCCUGGGUUUGCUGAAUUGGCCAAACCCCUCUACCUGAUGACAAAAGAUCAGCACCUUCCAAUGGACAGAGAACACAGCGCUGUUUUCGGCCCCAGCACUGGGACUCCCUGAUGCCUCCAAGCCUUUUCAACUGUUUGUGGACGAGAGUAAGGGGGUAGCUAAGGGAGUUCUGACUCAGCCCAUAGGCCCUUGGAAACGGCCUGAAGCAUACUUAUCAAAGAAACUUGACUCUGUAGCCGCUGGAUGGCCCCUUGUCUCACAAUGAUAGCGGCCACAGCCCUGAUGGUAAAAGAUGCAGACAAGCUAACCAUGGGGGGCAAGAACUGCAGGUCACCACACCCCAUGCUGUUGAAGGCCUCCUAAAGCAGCCUCCCGACCGAUGGCUUAGCAAUGCACGGCUAACUCACUACCAAGGGCUGUUGCUAAACCCUCUCAGAAUUUUCUUUCAGCCACCAACCACCCUAAACCCCGCCUCCCUGCUCCCUGACCCGGACCUGGAGGCCCCACUCCAUGAUUGUGCCGAAGUGUUAGCCCAGGUGCACGGAGUAAGAGAAGAUCUACGAGAUCAACCCCUGCCCAACGCUGAGGUAACCUGGUUUACCCACGGGAGCAGCUUCGUGCAUCAAGGACGGAGAGAUACAUACUGAACCAUUUGAAGAAUCUCUGAGAUUUGCCUGUGGAAUACUGCAGUAACAAGUGAGGCAAGAAGGAAAGAAACAAGGCAAAAGAUGAAGCAAAAUUGGCAAAAUGUCAAAAUCUGCUGAAGUUCUAUGGGAGGUUCAUGGACACAUGGGCAAUGAAAUAGCUCCACUUACCGGGAGCAGCAAGCAAAGAAGGAAAAGAAAGGAAGGCCAAUGGCUGCCCACGCCUCACCGCGGCUGCCCAUGCCAUAAUGCUGCCUCACUGCUGAGCCCAGAGAAGCACGGCGUCUCAGACUCAGCACUCCCCUGAAUGAGUUUCAGUAUCACACAAAGGAUCACAAUACAAAAGGCCAGGUGGAUGACUUCUUGUGAAGGUGCUUGUAUACUUACAGUGUAUAAUUUGUGUGUACAUCUAUGUAAAGACAUUAGUUGUCUGGGUUCACUUCUGAGAAUGAAAAAUUUGGGUUCCUUAUUCUUUCAAGGAAUUGGUAUCCAAACCAAGAACCAAACCA